GAUGAACGCUGACAGAAUGCUUAACACAUGCAAGUCUACUUGAACUUCGGUUUGGGUGGCGGACGGGUGAGUAACGCGUAAAGAACUUGCCUCACAGUUAGGGACAACAUUUGGAAACGAAUGCUAAUACCUGAUAUUAUGAUUUUAGGGCAUCCUAGGAUUAUGAAAGCUAUAUGUGCUGUGAGAGAGCUUUGCGUCCCAUUAGCUAGUUGGAGAGGUAACGGCUCACCAAGGCGAUGAUGGGUAGCCGGCCUGAGAGGGUGAACGGCCACAAGGGGACUGAGACACGGCCCCUACUCCUACGGGAGGCAGCAGUGGGGAAUAUUGGACAAUGGACCAAAAGUCUGAUCCAGCAAUUCUGUGUGCACGAUGACGUUUUUCGGAAUGUAAAGUGCUUUCAGUUGGGAAGAAAAAAAUGACGGUACCAACAGAAGAAGUGACGGCUAAAUACGUG
This 454-nucleotide ribosomal RNA is filed under the name uncultured bacterium. RNAcentral's name for it is "partial 16S ribosomal RNA". It matches the Rfam family "Bacterial small subunit ribosomal RNA", at positions 28 to 507 of the family's 1533-position model. The record is from RNAcentral.